Molecule: long non-coding RNA, 2160 nt
Organism: Sarcophilus harrisii (Tasmanian devil)
Lineage: Eukaryota; Metazoa; Chordata; Mammalia; Dasyuromorphia; Dasyuridae
Exons: 3
Source: RefSeq, a predicted model, not a curated record
GGCUGAUGCUCUAUCCAUUGUGACACCGAGCUGCCCUAUAAAGCAAUUUUUAUGUAACAUAUAUUUUCCUGGAUAUAGGAAAAGGAGGGAGGGAAGGAGGCCAUGUACUUGGAACCAAAAGACCACUCAGGAGGCAGACACGUGGGGGGCUGGACACAGACACAGACAGGAGAGGUCAAAGGAUGGCCAUGAGGUCCACAGGCAGCUGGGAGACAGAUGGGAUAAAGGGAGCCUGCACAUACAGGUAUUCGGGAUGGGAAGCACAAAGAUGAAGACCUGUCCUGUGUAAGGAACAGCGUCCAAAUUUGGCUGGAUUGAAGAUGUUGGGAAGAGAAAUAAUAGCCAAUAAGGCUGGAAAUAUAGGUUGGGGCGAGACUGUGAAGGCCUUAAAUGUCAAGCCAGGGAAGAAACUAGUAUCAUGGGAGAGGCUGAAGGUGUGUGAGGGUGGGGAGUGAUUAAAGAUGUAAUCUCCUGGAGAAAAUGGGAGAGGCUGGAGCCAAACAAAUGUAGAGGGAUUGGUCUUGGCAAGGAGAAGGGUCAUAUCUUUGUCAGACACAGAGGGGGAAAGUGUCCGGGUGUUUAAAAAUUAAGAGAAUGUCAGAUGCUCUCAAUUUUCUCACUAAAGUGAGAGGCAAGGUCCCCAUCUGAGAGAAAGAGGGAAAAAUGUGGGAGGCUCCAAGAAGGAAGAGAAAGUUUGGAAGCAUUUCUGUGGGCGUGAGACAAUGUGGGGAUCAAUUAAGGAAGAAAUAAGGACUGCUUGCUGCAAGGAGGGCCCUGCUGAAGUCAGCACUGCUGGGAGAACCCUUACAGCUGUGUUAGGCAGCUGCUGAGUAGAAGAGAAGGGAGAUGGGGAAAGUGAUCCAAGCCCGAAAUUUGGCAAGAAGCCAUUGGCAAAAGGGCAGGGAACAGGAACGGAGAGCAGUCAUGGCUAUCCAGGGGGCUGAUGUCAAGAGGGAGAAAAAGUGCAGUCAGAGUAAAAGGAAAGUACCAAAGAGUGGAGGGAAUGAACAUCUUGGUGAGGGAAGGAUGAGCCAUGGGGAGAGGUGGAAUAAUAAGGGAUCGGAAUUACUGAGUGGGAAGUAGAACACCUGGGUAGGGAGAUGUCUAGUGUCCCAUGUGUGGUUGGCAUUUAAAGGGGCAUCUAGGUCACUAAAAAGUCCCCUGAUAUAAGGGCAGCACUUGGGGAGAUGAUGCUAAACACGAUGAGAAAGGAAGGAAAAUGACCCAGGGACUGGCAGUCCACAGCCAUCUUAAUGUGGAAUUAAGGACGAGUUUUGAUUGAGUUGUUACAAAGAAGGAAGAGCUGCUGAUGGAUAGAAAUAAAGGGAAGAUCUGGAAGUGACAAUGGGGCAGGAGCAUGAAGCAAUAUCCCUCCCCUCUUUCCCCUCUCCAGGACCAGUAUCUCAGGGAGCCAUGGAGGAUGGGAGCAAGCCCAGGAAAUCUUUUUGGGGCCCUGGCUGAAAAACAAUACCCAGGGAGAAAGCUGGCAAUAACAAGAAGAAUAAGCUGGAGAACUGAGAUUUCCCAAGACACGCUUUAGAGCCCUCCAUGCUCAAUUACAAGUAAUUGUGACUUAUCUCUUUUGGCUGAAGAACACAUCUGAUCCCUCCUGACCUAAGGGCCUACAAGUGGUGAGUGGCUGGGGCUGGACUUCAGAGAGCCGGGGGAAGGACCCCAUUUCAAUCAGCGAGUGACCUCAGCUCCGUACUGUGGACCCCCCUUCCCCCCCAGCCGACACAUCCUGUGAACGUGCUCAUUGCCGUUGUCACUAACUUGGAUAUCAAUGCAGAGGUUAGCACACACACACACUGCUUCCCCUUCCUGGGAAACACAGAUAUGACUGGGAAUGUCAGAGGCCAUGGGCCCUCACCGGGGGCCUCUUCCACAAAGACUCCACUGGAAAUGACUCCAUUGUUUCCUCUACAUCAUUGGAGCAGUCUUUGCAGUCUUCCCUCCAUGGAUGCUAAACCUGUACCUAUCAUUAGAGGAUCAAAUAGUCAUAGGUCAACCAGUUAUAGUAUUCAAUAUCUGUCCAUUUAAGGGACUGUAGAUUUAAAAAGUAAAUUCCUAGUGAGGAGGGGGCAAUAUGUGUAAUAUGAUAGCAAUAUUAAAAUCCUCAAAAAUUAAGUUUUGCAUGCCCUUACAUAUAUAAUGGGUAUC